This is a long non-coding RNA of Pogoniulus pusillus (Red-fronted tinkerbird), 1364 nucleotides long. RefSeq lists it as uncharacterized. The record is from RefSeq and is a predicted model, not a curated record. The transcript is spliced from 4 exons. NCBI's taxonomy places the organism in Eukaryota, Metazoa, Chordata, Aves, Piciformes, Lybiidae.
GCUGCCUCAGCGUCCCUGACUCUGUACGUCCAAGGGCAGCUCAGGAUGCCCACGGCGGGAGCUGCAGCUACCGAGACAACCUCUCGUCACGCUUGGCACUUUACCCUGCUCCUGUUAAAUGGUCAGAGCUGAUGGAAGCAGGACUAAACACAGCUCAUAGAGCUCAGCCUAGAGAAAUUACCCUAUGCUGGACAUCUCUGUCUGCCUUUCCAUAUGAAUAAGAAGCUUGGAUGCUGUCUGAAGACAAGAAGAAACUUUCAGAAGUGGGAAGAUGAAAACUGUGGAACAGAUAAUGAGAUCUGCUUAUAUAAUUCUUCCAAUAUCAAAUGAAAAAUACUUAGAAAAGAUACAGUCAUCGGCCUGAAAAUGCAUAAAUUAGUAGUACAAACCCACUGAGAGGGUCAAGAUCUUUUCCAGGAAUACAUGAAAAGCCAGCAAUUCUCUAAUUCCAACUGGAGCAGGAGAUCAACUUCCACAGCCACUUCAACAGGACGGCUCCCUCAGGAUGCAGCCAAACCAAGGAAGGUUGCAGCCAGUCCAAGGAAAUAAACAAAACUAGCAAGUUGUCUGUAAAACAAGUCUGAUAAUCCUGGUUUACCCAGCGCCACCGAAGCUCUGCCCUUCCACCUGAGCUGUCCAGACACUGACAGACUGCUGCAACAGACUAAAAAUUGCAAAGUAGGACCCAAUAUACUUUUUUUUAAUUCAUAACUGUCACUGUAUUUGCCUGCUGUUACUUCUCUGCUAUCAGCUUCCCUAUCCUGUCUUUACUCCCCCUAGAGCAUAUGUGAGAAUAAGAAACAGAACACUAAGGUAAGUAAAUAUAAAAAUGCUAAUGUCAGUAUGGAAAUCAAAGUUUUUGAAGGCCACCAAGUCAAGAAACCCCAAAAGUCCAAGCUCAGCUUUAUAAUCACUUGUUUUAUAUUCCAGGCUGCAGUGUACUUAGGUUUGCCCUGCUCCUUUGGGCACACAGAGCACAGAUUACUGAUCACUUACAGUUUCAUUCAACCAUCUAUUAUUUGCAUAGCCUGCAUUUAUUGAUAAACACAGACCUCAGUUUUCCUCCAUCUGAAGGCUCAGCAGGUUUGGCAACUCGACAGCAAACUUGCAGGUGCUGUCCAGAGGUUGUGGCCAGAGCUUCGGUGACUCCAUUAGCUAAGUGAUGACAAUAUCCAAACACGUGCUGGUCAGCUGGACUCAACAGCCAGAGUGACUCUGUUUCCAGCUACAAGUCGUUGUUAAAUUAAACACAUUCCUCCUGUUGUCUCAUCAUCUUCCUUGUACCCAGGAUUCAUUUAUAAUGUUCUAUGUCUCCAAUGUUUUUAAAAGAAACUAAAACAAAGCUCAGACAGUGCAAAUAUUUU